Molecule: ribosomal RNA, 136 nt
Filed under: uncultured eukaryote
Lineage: Eukaryota
Description: partial 18S ribosomal RNA
Rfam family: Eukaryotic small subunit ribosomal RNA
Source: RNAcentral
UGGUGGAGUGAUUUGUCUGCUUAAUUGCGAUAACGAACGAGACCUCGGCCCUUAAAUAGCCCGGUCCGCGUUUGCGGGCCGCUGGCUUCUUAGAGGGACUAUCGGCUCAAGCCGAUGGAAGUUUGAGGCAAUAACA